RNAcentral lists this ribosomal RNA (247 nucleotides) under uncultured bacterium. RNAcentral's name for it is "partial small subunit ribosomal RNA". It matches the Rfam family "Bacterial small subunit ribosomal RNA", at positions 26 to 286 of the family's 1533-position model. The record is from RNAcentral.
AGAAUCAACGCUGGCGGCGUGCCUAACACAUGCAAGUCGAACGAGAAAGUGGGAGCAAUCCCACGAGUAAAGUGGCGCACGGGUGAGUAACACGUGACUAACCUACCCUUGAGUGGGGGAUAACCUAGGGAAACCUGGGCUAAUACCGCAUAAUACCUACGGGUCAAAGGAGCAAUUCGCUUUAGGAGGGGUCGCGGCAGAUUAGUUAGUUGGCGGGGUAAUGGCCCACCAAGACAGUGACCUGUAU